RNAcentral lists this ribosomal RNA (300 nucleotides) under Triticum aestivum (bread wheat). RNAcentral describes it as "partial small subunit ribosomal RNA". Lineage: Eukaryota; Viridiplantae; Streptophyta; Magnoliopsida; Poales; Poaceae. The record is from RNAcentral.
AUGCAGCCGUUCAACAGUAGAACCUUGAUUGAAGAGGUGACUGACAGUGAGUUGCCAAUGGAGCCGGUGCACCACCCUGUGCAGUCACCGCCAGGCGGACAAGUGGGAGGUGCGAGCACUUCAAUUGGCGGUGGGCAGAUCUGUCCCCCAUCAGUGGAAGGACAAGCAAGGAGUGGAGAUAAGGCAGAUGCUUCAGAAAACUCCGUGGAGCAGAUUGAUCCAAAAACGCCUGCUUGGACGCGAAGGGUCAAGAUAGGUGCUGCAGCACCAGCCACCAGGGCGUGCCCCAUGCCCAGAUAG